UGCCUGUUCUUGUUAGUAAACAUUGAAAAAAGUUUCUAUAGGAAAUUGAAAUUCAGGACAUCUUUUGUUGUGUUUGAAGAAAAAGGUUCCAAUCAUUUAACCCUCCAAAUAAAUAGAUGGCGCAAAUGUCUCCUGUGUAUAAUAAUUGAAAGUCAUCUAAUCUGGAUAUCCUUGGUUGUUCGCAAGAAAAGAAAAAAUAUACGGAUAUCCUUGGUGUUAGAACAUAGAAUCGUUCUAGGAGUAAAUCAGUGGGGUAACCAUAGUCUAUUCGGUAUAAAAGAGUGCACUUAUGAAAGAUCUAGGGGAAAAAGGGAAGUAGUGGGGUUCAUACCAUUGGAGGAAGUAGGAGGAGGCGCGGUGGAAGAUCCGGAUCUGGAGGCGGCCAUCUCUGGUUCGCUGAUGCAGAUCUACGCACGGGCAGCGACGGGUGGGGAAGACUCGGCGGUGCAGUGCAGUGGCGGCGCGGAGGGCUUCCCGUCACUGGCUGCGCCCUUCUCUAUAUCGGGUUAGGGUUUCGGUGGGGAGUGCGGCUCACGGUGAACCUCGUACUGAGAGCCGGCGGCCCCCACCUGUAUUUAUAGCGUAGUGUGACAGUGGCCCUCCAGCCAUAGAUGGGCUGGGCGCCCCCGAUCAGGGCGCAGGUCAAGGCCCGAUUAGGCCUUUGGGCCUAAUCGGUGGGAGAUCAUUUCAACAUUCUCCCCCUUGAUCUCAACCUUUCUUUAACCUUUAAACUUUAACUUUAAACACUUUACUUUUUACUCGUUCCAUCACAGAUGAGUGCAUAGAGCAUGCUUCAUCAUCACAGUCUAUCGCCGAUAGAUUUGACAGCUACAAUGCAGGUCUCUGAUCUGAAACAGUAACUUUAACUUUGGGCUAUUUAUAGUUCAGGAAUCAUAGGCUUUCCCUUAAACCCAUGCCGGCUACGUGUUCUCUUAACACAUUGGGUGGUAAACCUUUUGUAAGCGGAUCUGCGAGCAUCUUUUCAGUCCUUAUGUGCUCAAGACUUAUGAUUUGAUCCCGAACUUUAUCCUUCACAACAUAAUACUUUAUGUCAAUGUGUUUGGCAGCACCACUUGACCUAUUGUUGUGAGCAUACUGUAUUGCUGGAUUAUUAUCGCAGUAUAACUUUAGUGGUUUAUCUAUGCUGUCGACCACAACCGGGUAGGAACUUCUUUGACUAGUUCACCUGCCCCGUUGCCUCAUAACAUGCUACAAACUCGGCAUACAUUGUGGACGAUGUAGUGACGGAUUGUUUUGAGCUUUCCCAUGAAAUAGCUCCCUCUGCGAGAGUGAAGACAUAUCUAGACGUGGAUUUUCUAUCAUCUCCCGCAUAAUCAGAAUCCGAGUACCCUUCUAUGUGCAAGGAUUCUGAUAUUCUAUAUGUCAGCAUGAGGCCUUUUGUCCCUUGCAAAUAACGCAAGACUUUCUUUACCAAUUUCCACUGUUCCUGUCCUAGAUUGCUUUGAAAUCUGCCAAGUAACCCGGUAACAAACGCUAAGUCAGGGCGCGUACAGACUUGAGCAUACUGUAAGCUUCCGACAGCAGAAGCAUAUGGAACCACUUUCAUUUGAUCGAGCUCGAAUUGGUUCCUGGGGCAUUGAAAAUCCCCAUAUCUGUCGCCCUUGACAAUGGGUGCAGGUGAUGCACUACAUUUGUGCAUAUUAUAUUUCUUUAGAAUCUUUUCUAUAUAUGUCUAUUGUGACAGUCCUAGUACCCCCUUUUCUCUAUCUCGGUGAAUUUCUAUGCCUAGAACAAAAGAAGCUUCACCAAGAUCUUUCAUGUCAAACUUCGAGGACAAAAACUUCUUUGUCUCCAAUAGUAGACUGAUAUCACUGCUAGCAAGUAAGAUAUCAUCCACAUACAAGAUUAGAAAGAUAAACUUUCCAUUCUUAAACUUUGAAUAUACACAGUUGUCCUCAAUGUUUUCUUUAAACCCAAAAUGCUUUAUGGUUUUGUCAAACUUCAAGUACCACUGUCUUGAAGCUUGCUUCAACCCAUAGAUCGAUUUCUUUAAGCGACAUCCCAUCUGUUUUCUGCCUUCCAUGACAAAACCUUUCGGUUGUGCCAUGUAAACAUUUUCCUCCAAAUCCCCAUUUAGGAACGCUGUCUUUACAUCCAUCUGAUGCAACUCUAAAUCAUAAUGUGCUACUAAAGCCAUUAUGAUUUUGAAGGAAUCUUUACAUGAGACUGGAGAAAAUGUCUCAUUGUAAUCAAUUCCCUCCCUUUGUGUGAAACCUUUCGCCACAAGUCGCACUUUAUACCUUUCAAUAUUCCCUUGGGAGUCACAUUUAGUCUUGUAGACCCAUUUAUAGCCUACUGUUUUGGCUCCUUUAGGAAUAGGUUCUAAGUCCCAAACUUCGUUGGACCUCAUUGAUUCCAUUUCAUCUUCCAUGGCUUUAAGCCACUUCGAUGAAUGUCGCUUCUCAUGGCUUCUUCAAAUGAGGUGGGAUCACCCUCCAUUUGAGCUUCUUCUAUGUUAUACACCUCAUAAUCAUCCGGAAUAGCUGAUCUUCUAACUCUUUGAGAUCUCCUAAGAGUCUCAUUUGUGGGUGCCUCUUGGGGCUGUUGUUGGUCUUCCUCGUGGGCAACAGGUGGUGGUUGCACGGGAUCCUGAAGGACAGGUUCCUCAUGUUCAUCCAUUGUUGCCACGGGGGAACUAACAACAGGUGUUGGCACUGCACUACAGUGGCAGGCACUGUUGGCGCAACAAGAAUAGGUAAUUCAAAAAAUGGAUCCUGAAUCAUCGGAGUGGGUACACAUACCCGCUUCUCUUCAAGAUCAAUUUGUCGAGCUACCAUCCUCCCCCUGAUCAUUUUAUUCUCUAAGAAAACUGCAUGCCUUAUUUCUACAAACUUUGUGUAUCUAUCUGGGCAGUAGAAACGAUAGCCUUUUGACCUUUCAAUAUAGGCAAUAAAAUGGCAACUCACUGUUUUGGGAUCUAGUUUUCCAAUAUUUGGGUAAAUACUUUAGCCUCAGCAGGACUCCCCCAGACACGCAAGUGAUUUAGUGAGGGCACUCUUCCUGUCCACAUCUCAUAUGGUGUUUUGGGCACCGACUUACUUGGUACUCUAUUGAGAAUAUAGAUGGCGAUUUUUAAUGCCUCCAUCCAUAAACUCAAUGGUAAGAUGGAAUAAAUCAUCAUGCUACGCACCAUAUCCAUUAGGGUGCGAUUGUGUCUUUCAGCUACUCCAUUCUGCUGAGGUUUGCCCAGUGUGGAGUACUAGGCUACUAUACCAUUUUCCUGUAAAAACCUUGCAAAAGGUCCAGGAAUUUGGCCAUAUGGGGUGUGCCGACCGUAGUACUCUCCCCCGCGGUCGGAUCGGACUAUCUUUAUCUUUAAAUUAUGCUGAUUUCCAACUUCAGCCUUAAAUAUUUUAAAUUUAUCCAAUGCUUCUGUUCUUUCUUUAUUUGGAUAAAUAUAACCAUAGCGGGAGUAAUCAUCUGUGAAUGUUAUAAAUGAAUCAUAGCCAUCCACGCUUUUCAUAGGAAAGGGGCCACAAAUGUCUGUAUGAAUUAUUUGUAGUAUUCCUGUGCUUCUUUUGGCAUCCUUUUUAAUUUUCUUUAUGUACUUUCCUUUAAUGCAUUCUCUACAUUGGUCUAAAUCUGAGAAUUCUAAUGGAGGAAGAAUGUCAUUCUUCACUAGUCUUUCUAUUCUCCCUCUCGAAAUAUGGCCUAAACGACAGUGCCAUAAUUUCGACGAGGCAUCUUGAGUUCUCUUCCUUUUUCUAUUGGAAACCGCAGACGAGGAUACGUUAUCAAUCACAUCACAUACGGAAUUAACACAUUCACGAAGUGAUAACAAAUAAAGAUCUUGCUUUAAAAAAGCAAUACCAACACUGUCAUUAUUACAGAUAAUCUCACACUUGCCAUUACCAAAAUGGCAGCCAUAACCAUCAUUGUCUAAACAAGACACAAUUAUUAAGUUUCUCUGUAGAGAAGGAACAUAAAGAACAUCUCUAAGCAAAAGAAUAAAACUAUUAGCAAGUUCUAAUGAAACAUCGCCAACAGCUUCCACGUCUACCUGGACUCCAUUUGCCACUUUAAUUUGUCUUUCUUUUCUUUGCGUAGUCCGCGUCGAACGGAAUCCCUGUAAAGAAUUUGCAACAUGAACAGUUGCCCCUGAGUCAAUCCACCAAGUAGAUUUUGCAUAUUGUACAUAAAGGGAUUCAUUUACAAAAGUAAUAAUGUUCUCACCAUUCUUUUCCAUUACCAUCUUUAAAAAUUUAGGGCAAUCUUGCUUGAAAUGCCCCUCUUUGUGGCAGUAGUGACACAGAUCUUUGUUCCCUGGAGGAGGUUGGGCCUUUUUCUGCUAGGGCUACUGAUGCAUGGGUGCUUUGCCCUUUGCCUUUGAAGGAGAGUUGGCAUUGGCAUUGACAUUCUUUCUUUUGUUAUCUCUAACAAAGUUGAGAGUGCCACCAUUGGCGGCCUUGAUCCUGUCUUCCUCUUGAACACACAUCGCUAUACAACGCUCCAGGUUCCAUUUCUCGGGCUGGAUGUUGUAGUUGACAACAAAGGUGUCAAACUCCUUUGGCAACGAAGCAAAAAUCACAUGGACAAGGAACUCUUCCUUGAGCUCUAAGUCCAUUGGUUUAAGCUUGUUGUUUAGAUGGUUCAUCUUUGAUAUGUGUUCCCUAAUGCCAUUGCCAUUGCCAGGCCUAGAGUACCUUUCUGUCAUCAGCUGCUUAAUCAAUUGAGUAGCAUAUGUCUUUGAAGAGCCAUGAAACUAUCUCUUUACUUUCUCAAGGUACUCUGCAAUAGUGUCACACUCUCCAAUUGACCUCACUAUAGUAGGAUCAAUUGUGUUCUUUACCACCGCCAGACAUUUCUUGUUGGCAGUGGCCCACUGUCUCUUUUGAAGAUCAUAGAUUAUUCUUUCACUUGCAUACUUUCCUUCUCUUGUUUCCCAUGCAGCAUCAGUCUCUUCAGCUCCCCUCACUGGUUCCACUGGCUCAGUGGGAAACGGUGUGGAGAUGACCCAGUCGACCUCAGCCAAGAUGAAGGCCAGGUCAAUCUUUUUCUUCCAUUCAGUGUAGUUGUCUCCUUUGAGGGCUGGAAUAUCUUUGAUAUAUGCCAUCAAGGAGACUCCUGAAACACAUUCAAAUUAAGUGAGAACAUAACACAAUAAUUGCAUGAUUUAAUUCCAACUAUGGUCAAAAGUAAAACAUACAAUUAAUCCUUUUACAUUAAUUCUACAACACCUUUGGGCAGAAAUAGAAUUAAUGCAUAUCAAAAAACCAUAAUAACAUUAUAAUAUUGCUAUUAAUCAACUUUGGUCAGAAUAAUAACAAUAUUAUAAUAAUCUAUAAUUUUAUCCAAUUUUAAACUUUUUACACUAAUUCUACAUCACCUUUGGGCAGAAAUAGAAUUAAUGCAUGACAACAAACCCUAAUAAUAUCAUAAUAGUGCUAUAAAUCAACUUUAGUCAGAAUGAUAACAAUAUUAUAAUAAUCUGUAACUUUAUCCAUUUUUCAAAAUUAAAAUCUCCCAUUGGUUUGAAUUUAAUAAUGAAAAAGGAAUAAAUAACUUUAAGUACGCAAUGGAAACUUUAAUAAACUUUUUAAUUUCAUUUUCCAGAAACUAUACAAAAACCUUACUGUUCUCUGAAUAUAAUUAUCUUUGGACAAAAUAUACAGAGAAAAGUAUUAAAAAGUAUGCAAAAACAUUCAAAAUGCAUCAAUUAUAGCUUCUGGAAAAGGAAAAACGAAAAAACUGUGUAGACACUGCAGUUUGACCAAUUUUGUCCCGUCCCCAUGCGCGGCCCGCGCGGCAGCUGGCCUGCAGCCCACUGUGUUCUCGCGCAGGGUGGCAGAGCGGCCCAGCGACGCGCGCGAUUUUUUUUCUCGGCUUUAUUUCGGCCCAGCAAAACUCAUCCCAACGGCCGCCUGCGCGCGCGACUCGCCGUCCAGGCCGCAACGUGGGCCUGGGCCGGCAAAGCUGAAACCCGCCUGGGUCAAAUUUAGCCCAGCAGAGCUUCGGCCGAUCUGCACCGUCCGUUUCGAUCCGACGGCCAUCCACGAUUUUCGCUGGAAUAAAACAGUGGCCGCCAGCUUUUCCCAAAACCCAAACUUCAUUUUCUAUCUCCCUCUUCUUUCCUCUCUGCACGGCGCCGCCCAGGAGCAGCAGCCGGCGCGGCGGCGGCCAUGGAGGCCACCGAGGAGAGGGCCGCCGCCGGACGGAUCCGGCCACUCCCCUGCCUUCCUUUCUAUUUCUUUCUCUAUUUUCCCAUCUCCUCGCCGCACCUAGCAACCAGAGAGCAAGGGAUGGCGCUGCCUCGGCUCCCCUCGCCAGCGCACACGUGCGGUUUCAGUCGCACGCGGCACUGUCGAGGAGCGCCGCGAUGGUGCCCUGUCCGCACGCCGGAGCAGAGAAAAAACCGGUAGGUUCUACCAUGCCUACCUUCUGUUAGGGUUAGGGUUUCGGAAUGUAAAACUUUUUUUUUUAUUUGGAAUGUUCUUUCUUUUCCCUACUGGGUUUGAUAGAUCCGCACCGGAUCGAUCCUUUUCUUUUCCCCAAACUCUAGAUCUACUCGCUAGAGUAGGCGUCUGAUACCAUUGUUAGAAUAUAGAAUCGUUCUAGGAGUAAAUCAGUGGGGUAACCAUUGUCUAUUCGGUAUAAAAGUGUGCACUUAUGAAAGAUCUAGGGGAAAAGGGGAAGUAGUGGGGUUCAUACCAUCGGAGGAAGUAGGAGCAGGCGCGGUGGAAGAUCCGGAUCCGGAGGCGGCCAUCUCUGGUUCGCUGACGCAGAUCUGCACACGGGUAGCGACGGGUGGGGAACACUCGGCGGUGCAGUGCAGUGGCGGCGUGGAGGGUUUCCCAUCACUGGCUGCGCCCUUCUCUAGAUCGGGUUAGGGUUUCGGUGGGGAGUGCGGCUCACGGUGUACCUCGUAGUGAGAGCCGGCGGCCCCCACCUGUAUUUAUAGCGCAGUGUGACAGGGGCCCUCCAGCCAUAGAUGGGCUGGGCGCCCCCGAUCAGGGCGCAGGUCAAGGCCCGAUAGGCCUAAUCGGUGGGAGAUCAUUCCAACACUUGGUUGUGCUCAGAGUUCUUGACUAUGUCCCAUUGGUAUGUAGCUAGCUUAUCUUGGUAUUUCUGUAUACCUGUUUCUGGUUGAUCUCUAAGGCCAAAGACGCUAUUCAUAUGUGCCAUUGGCUUAUUUUAAUAUUGUUUAUUUUUCCCCUUCCAUGGUUUAGUUGUUACUACACCAUGAAUUACUAUAAUCCUAUAUAAGGCACACUGGGGAAAAAUAUAAGCAUAUAAUCCUACAUAAUGCACAUUCGGAAAAAAAAUAUAAGCAUAUAAUCCUACGCAACGCAAAUUCAGUCUUCACUAUUUCAGAAUAGGACAUGAAAAGCAUGAAAGAUCACUGCAUUACUUAAGAAAGUGUCAAAUAUGCAAUUUCCUCUUCAAAAGACAUGGAGGCAGCAACUAUGACAGCUAUAAGGAGCCUAAUAAUUGGAAAUAAAAAAUAAUAAGAAUCCAUAUUAUAUCUGGCAUUCUGCCAAACCGAAGCCCAGCUUACUCUAAAUCCAGCUCAUGUUGUGAAACAUUGUAACUACUGAUAUCAUCUACUAAACAAAGUAGGUAACCUCUACAAAAUAGGUAAUACUAUUAACCAGCUCCAACUGGAGAGAGUAAGUCUAGCAGAUUCAUUAAUUCAAAUGCGAACCAAGACCUUUUUAUGUGGAGUUACUCAUGAUUACUAAAACACAGGAAUAGAGCACACCUUUCUAAUAUAUUCUUGAAAUCGCAGCAAUGCAUGAGAAUUGUUACAUAAUUCUUGAUUACAAAUUUAGGCCUACAUCAAAGUCUAUAUAAAGAAGAAAAUGUAUAUAAACCAUAGAGAUUAAACAAAAAAUAUUUUUGAUGAAAGCACAAAUACUUGAGUGGUCUGCAUAGAAUAAAUUGAAGAAUACAUUAACUGAAUAUAACCAAGGACUUGUCACUCUGCACACAUCAAAAUUCAGAACUCUUGCUAUUCAAAACCCUUUCUAUCCCUGAUUCAAGAACAAGCAAAAUAGCUAUAACCUGUGAGCAUAAAAACAAUUUGACCACAUGACCAAUUUGAAUGAUGAUCCAUACACUACAGGCUUGAUUACCUAUCAUAUAAAAUAAACUUUUAGCUAGAUUAAUAUUAUAAAAUAAAUUUAUUUAGUAAAAACAUGUUAGGACGACUGAGAACCAAGUGUCAUUCAGUUCAUCUUGACUAAAAGCAUGUUAGGCAUCACUAACAGAAUCACUCCACGAGCACAUCACUAAUAGAAUCACUCCACCAACAUCACUGCUACUUUGCAAAUUGAAAUGCAAUCAAACUUAAGCACAAACUUAGCGCACUGCACAUUUAUAUGGAGAUGCCAGGACUGAUUGUACCUUGAUGUUCAGGAUCUAGACUUAGAUCCCGGUGGACUUCAGUGCUCCUUUGGAGACGCCCUCGUCUAGGGAGGUGGCCGCGGUCGGCGCUCUCGCUGACGGAGGGAUUGUGGGGCGUGGAUCGACUGUGCGCAGCGCCGCGAUGGUGCUCGUUGCGGCCGAGAUCACAGCGGUUGCGGCGGCGCUCGAGGACAGCGCUCUCGCUGACGGAGGGAUUAGGGCUCGAGGAUCGACUGCGCGCAGCGCCGCGACGGUGCUCGUUGCGGCCAGAUCACAGUGGUCGUGGGCGGCACUCGAGGACGGCGCUCGUGGACGGAGCUCGAGCGUAGGAUAGGGCUGUCGCGGAUGGCGCGGUGCUCGAGGACGGAGCUGUCGCGGACAGCGCUCGAGGGUCUCGCGGCGGACCGCGCUCUCGCUGAUGGAGGGAUUGGGGUGUGUGGCCGUCCGCUCGAGGUCGGAGCGGUCGCCGACGAAGCUUGUGUGGAGGGCGCUCUUGGGUCUCACGGCGGGCGCGCGACGGGCGCUCGAGGGUCUCGCGACGGGCGCUCGAGGACGGGGCUCGCGCAUGAGGGAGGGGAUCGGGGAGGGGAU
RNAcentral lists this long non-coding RNA (8955 nucleotides) under Sorghum bicolor (sorghum). RNAcentral's name for it is "long non-coding RNA (SBIC_LNC017157)". The record is from RNAcentral. Lineage: Eukaryota; Viridiplantae; Streptophyta; Magnoliopsida; Poales; Poaceae.